CCAGCAUGUUCUGCCAGAUCUGAACCACAAUAAUUUCUGUUGUUCAAUGAGCCACAGCCAAGCCCUCUCCUACAAGGUCUGGACCUCAGCCGCGGGGAGAGGCUCUUUCUUGAGAGCUCUAUCUCAGCCCUAGGGGUAAUGCUGCUCCUUCUAUCUGCUAUUCCUGUAUUCUUUAGAGUUUGUUUGGUGGUUGUUUUUUUUUUAAUUCUCACUAGCCAAUCCCUCAUUACCCAAACUCCUGUAUAGUUAGGAGCUGUGUAUGUGAAACUUUCUCUGUUCAAAUUACUGUGUGGUUUCUCUCUCCCAGCUGGACCCAGACUAACACACUUGUAAAAAUCCUGUAAAACAAGCAACAAGUUGGAUGAACUCUACACUCAUGUCCACAGAAGACACAUCUAAGUCUGUUGCGAGGAGGCAGGGAUGGGGACCCAGAGCCACAGAGCCUCAGAAGACUAUCUCAGAGGCCCAUACAAAUGGACUGUUCCAGGUACUCUCAGGCACAGGCUUCUGAUGAUGUCGCCCAGAUAAAUUUGAGACCACAACAAUGAAUUUCCACAACCAUUAGUCACGAAGCAGAUGAAUUCAUGAGACUGCUUAUCCAAGAACUGAAGCCUGACUGCCCAGGUCCCCAUCAGGACUCUAGUUACCCUGAAGGUGUCCUUUCUCUCAGGGUCUGAAAAAGCCCUGAGAGGUGAAGCCCAACAACUUGAUAUAAACCUGGAAGGACACAUCACCAUGGCAGACCAUGCACGAGCCAGAUUCUUCCCUGUGUGAGCCACUGCCUGGGCUACUAAGACAGUCUGAUAAAAUAUGUGCCCUACACAAAAAGUAACCAAGACUGUGGACAACAUCACCAAGAGACAUCUUAGUUUCAAGAAACUCAACAAACAGUGCUAUGUAAUCAAAAGAUUUCCACCCACUGACUUAGAAUCUCUGGAUUGGAUACCCUCAGGAUUCAAUUCCUGGCUCAUUAAUAUGAACUUUCAUAUUAAUAUUUCUCUUUUUUCAUUUUAGACAAUGUUCUUUUAAUAUACCUGAUCUAUAUGACCCUAAAACUACUGAUCUUUGCCAGCACGCCCAACAGAUGUUUCCUUUGGUCCUUUAGGAAUAACGCAG
Molecule: long non-coding RNA, 1116 nt
Filed under: Equus caballus (horse)
Lineage: Eukaryota; Metazoa; Chordata; Mammalia; Perissodactyla; Equidae
Description: lncRNA (ENSECAG00000051047.1)
Source: RNAcentral